This 253-nucleotide ribosomal RNA is filed under the name uncultured bacterium. RNAcentral describes it as "partial 16S ribosomal RNA". It matches the Rfam family "Bacterial small subunit ribosomal RNA", at positions 524 to 776 of the family's 1533-position model. The record is from RNAcentral.
UACGUAGGGUGCGAGCGUUAAUCGGAAUUACUGGGCGUAAAGCGUGCGCAGGCGGUUCGUCGUGUCCGAUGUGAAAGCCCCGGGCUCAACCUGGGAAUGGCAUUGGAAACUGGCUUACUAGAGUGCGGUAGAGGGGUGUGGAAUUCCCGGUGUAGCAGUGAAAUGCGUAGAUAUCGGGAGGAACAUCUGUGGCGAAGGCGACACCCUGGACCAGCACUGACACUGAGGCACGAAAGCGUGGGGAGCAAACAGG